GUUGUAACACCAGUUCCCAUACGAUCACCGAAGUUAAGCAACGUCGAGCCCGGUCAGUAUCUAGAUGAGUGACCAGGUG
This is a non-coding RNA of Acanthosepion pharaonis, 79 nucleotides long. The record is from the annotation of a GenBank genome assembly. NCBI's taxonomy places the organism in Eukaryota, Metazoa, Mollusca, Cephalopoda, Sepiida, Sepiidae.